This 13169-nucleotide long non-coding RNA is filed under the name Marmota monax (woodchuck). Lineage: Eukaryota; Metazoa; Chordata; Mammalia; Rodentia; Sciuridae. The record is from RNAcentral.
GUGGCUCAAGGACUCAUCUUGUUUACUACUGUACCUUGGGCCUGGCCCCGUGCCUGGGAGGUGAUAGUGACUGGGUAAGUACUCUGGCCUUCGGACACCCCUCGAGUCUUCCCUCCUCCCCAGGCAAGAUAGAGCCACUGAUAGGGCUUCAGAUUCCCUAACUCCACCCUUCCCGUCCAGCCUCCCUAAGAGGAGUCUCAGUUCCCAACUGUCUCCCCCCACUUAAGAACAGUGUUCUCUGGAGAGACUCCCACUGCCGGGUAAUGUCCCUAUUGGCCCUGAGCACUGGUAACUUGACAAGGGCUGACUUUACAUGAAAUUCAAAAUAGAACCUUUAGAUGUUGGUUUAACAUUAAACCUUAAUUUGUACUGAAAAUUAUUAAAAAAAAAUUUCUUGCUUUUUCUGCCUGCAAAAUUGUGAAUAAGUUCAUCACAGGUCAAUUUACCCUUGUUUCAGUGGGCUGGUGACCAGUGACCAGCGUCUGUCUGUCUGCUAGACACAGGUUACCUCCAGAUGAGCAUAAUCCCAUUCACCGUGUAUGGAUUCUACUAGAGUUUUGUUUUGUUUGUUUUUUUUACGAGCCAAGGUAGAGUUCUUGGAGCCAUGGAGAUGACCCAUGACCCCUACAUGUCAUGAUUUUCAAAUUAGGUCCGACCAGUGGGACAUGGGACCAGCCCUUUAUUGCAGGACAUUUUCCUUUUCUGAUUUCCAGGCACUAGAUGCUUCUAGCAGCCCCCAGUCACCCCAACAAUGAACCGAAAAGAAAGCCUCCAAAAUCCCCCUGGGUGGGGGAGCAGUUGUACCUCAGGUUAAGGAGCAUUGUUACGCUGUGGUUGAAGACAGGUUGAAAAAUGUUUGCAGGAAGGUCCUGCCUGCCCUGUCCUGCAGGUCACACCUACAAGCCCUUCCUGGGCAACAGAGCCCUGGGCUUCUCUCUCCCCUGAGUGACCGUGGUAUUAUUAGUACCACUCAUACAGCCCUCUGUCACACGGCAUGACUCGCUGUAUCAACACCUUUAAUAUUAAUUAACUCCGGGAGUUUGUUAUAGAACAUUUCACAAUCUGCCUGUGUCCCUCUGACUAAAUCAUAAGUUCCCCGAGGGCCAAACCAUGCUUUGCCUGGGGGAAAAGGCUAUUGGGCGGGAGGUGCUCAGGCGAGGGUAGUAGAAGGUGACCGCUCCCUGAAGCAUCAGGGCACCAAAGUGGGGCUGGGACCCAACUGCACACAGGGAGAGCCCAAGCUGUUCCCAGAGAAGGGACACCAUGGCCCUCCUUUGGAGAAUGGGACCACCUUCUUGAUGGAACUGGGGGGAAUAAAGUCCAAUAAAGAAAAAGACAGAAUGAUAGAGAAGUGACAAGGACCUUGCUGAGUCACGGGGGUCCACAGGGAGGGGACUGGUCCUCAGGGCAGAAGGACACUGGACCCAGAAGAGGCUGCUCCAUCUGCCCACCGAGAUCUCCAGCGUGGCCUUCAGGACCCUCGCAGCACAGCAUUGAGGAGGGGCGAGGCCACAGGGGGACAGAAACCAGGCAGAGGUGCUGUUUUCAAGUCAAGCGGGAGGCAGUCCUGAGCGAGGCUACCUAUGGAAAUGUGCAUUGAUGCAUAUUUUUAUAAACACAUCUCAGUAUCAUAGGAGGGACAGAGGCAGUGUUUGUGCUGGGGACUGAACCAGGGCCUCGUGCAUGCUAGGCAGGCAGCACCCAGCCCUGGAAGAACCCUUUGCGUCGGAGUCCUUGAAAAUGGACACGAACUGGGUCUGAGUAAAGGAUGGGACCCCCACGUGCAGGUGGAGGCCACAGACCCAGGAAGGAGCAAGGAGGUCCCUGGGGGAUGGGCGACGGAAUGUAGAGAAACUAAAGAAAAAUGCAAGUUGGAGGUGAUGGCCUCCCCCGCCCCCCAGCUGUACCAAAACCAAAAUGACUCUCUGGCCCUUGCCUCUCUAUGCAGUGGCAUUUAGGUGGCUUCCAGCAGCAGGUUUUGAACCUCUUUCACAAUGCAGAGAUUUUCAUCAUUGAAUUAAAAAAUGUCUUCUCCUUGUAUUUUACAGCUCUAGCCGGACAGGGCAUUUGAGGGCAGACUCCGGAAGCGGAGGUGAUUCUACCAAAGUGUCCAGUAAAGCAGAGUGCUGCCCUCAUUCAUGGUGUGGAGGUCAGUAGUAACCAAAGGGUUUAUCACCAGGAAUCCCCAGCCUGAAUGCAAAGGUUAGCCGAAAAGAAAGAAAAGGAGGGGGAAGCAACCCCAAACUGUAAGACCUGCCGUCUUCCUUUUCACAACCCUGGCAAAAACAAGCAGGAGACAAAUCCCAUUUCCAAGGGCAGCAAAAGCUCUGUCUCCUCCCUGACCUGAGCCCUCUCCAUGCAUCAUAAAUAUUUCCAUAGUCAUAAAUAUCACUGAUGAGGAGGCACAGGGCUCUUAAUUGGCUCCGAGUCAUUUCAUGGUGGAGGAAGCUGGGGGAAGCGCACUGAAUGAGAAUAAGACAGGGCACAGGAUCUCCCAGGAGGAAAUUAAAGUCUAAUCUUCUAUCUGUGAUGAUGUUGUAUCUACGGGUUGAUUUAAACCAGGAGAGAACUGGCUCGAGAUCCAUUGGGAGAUGCAUCUUCUCUCUCUGAGUUUAUUUUCUAUCUCAGAAAUGCCAAUUCCCCCCUGGCUGAACCCUGUGGCAUGUUGAUGAUGAUCUACCAUAAAGGAAGAUGGGAUAUAACUAGCAUUUAUUAAAAACUAACAGCAGAGGUCAGGCACGGUUUACACAUACCUGUAAUCCCAGUAGCCCGGGAGGCUGGGGCAGGAGGAUCCAGAGUUCAAAACCAGCUUCAGCAACUUACGAGGUCCUAAGCAACUCAGCAAGACCCUGACUUAAAAUAAUAUUUUAAAAAGGGCUCAGUGGUUAGGCACCAAACCUAACAGCAGGAUAAGGAGAUAAACAGGUGGUUGUAUCGUCACGCAAUGAAAUACUAUUCAGCGAUAAAAGGAUAUACCCACUGAUUGCACAACAUGGAUGAGUUUCAAAACAUUAUGCACAGUGAAAGGAGCCUCAUAUAAAAGAACGCACAGCCCAUGAUGGGAAGCAGGUGUCGCUGUGCACGGUUGCCAGUUUAGCAAAGUCUAGUGAGACAGAAGGUAAAGGAGGCUCAUUAUACAGCUAAGCAGCAAGGGACAACAGAAGCCCAGCACCUGCUGAGGGCCACCCACAAGGCUCAGGAGAGGAGUCUCUACUAUGCAUGUCCCACGACAGCUGAAGGAUCCCCAAAAGCAACCCACCCAACCUACCCUUGCUUUUAUACCCCAGGGAAUGUUAAAAGACAUCCUGUUUGGGAUGGGGUCAGGGGGUCGGGGAGUGGGGAACGGAGCCUGGGUUGGUCUAGCCAGUUCCUUCUUAUCAAGAUGUUCAUUCACUGUGAAUCCUACAGUUAUUUUUGCGAACCACAGGUGAGAAAGGGGAGAACCGGGUUGAUCCAAAGCUCCCUGGAGAACUGGCUUGCAUACGCUUCCACUUAUAUGAUGUUCUGUAACAGGUAAUCGAGGGAGGAAAAAACUCUGAAUGAUAAUUUGGCAGCAGGCCUAGGGGUGGAGAGAGGGAACGACUAGAAAAGGGUACAGGCAUAUUUUCUGUGGAGAUGGAAAUGUUUUGUAUAACUUGAUGGGAGUUUGGAUCACACCGGUAUUUGCAUCUGUCAAAACUUAGCAAAUGUACACUUAUGGUUCAUGCAUUUCUUUGUAUCUGAAUUUUAUAUCCAGCCAGGUGUGAUGGUGCAUGCCUGUUACCCCAGCAACUCUGGAGUAAGGCAGGAGGAUUGCAAGUUUGAGGCCAGCCUCAGCAACUUAGCAAGGCCCUAAGCAACUUAGUAAGACCCUGUCUCAAAAAAAUUUUUUUAAACAAUUUUUUUUUGAGAGAGAGAGACAGAGGGAGAGAGAGAGAGAGCGAGAGAGAGAAUUUUUUUAAUAUUUAUUUUUUAGUUUUCGGGGGACACAACAUCUUUGUUUGUAUGUGGUGCUGAGGAUGGAACCCAGGCCGCACACAUGCCAGGUGAGCGCGCUACCGCUUGAGCCACAUCCCCAGCCCCCCAUUUUUUUUUAAAAGGGUGGGGGUGGCUGGAGAGGUAGCUACCCCCUUUUUUUAAAAGGGUGGGGGUAGCUCAAUGGUAAAGUGACCCUGGAUUUAAUCCUCAGUAUGGGGAUGGGGAUGGGGGUGGGGGGGAAUGCGACAAAUAGAUAUUACAUCCAUUGAAAACCCUAAAAAAAUACUGAACUCUAGCUAAGUAUACACAAGCCAAAGUAUUUAGAGGAAAGGGUACCAAUGCCAGCAAUUUACUUUGAAAUGCAUCACUAAAAUAAGGUAAGGUAGACAAAGGGACAGAAAGAUGGAUAAUUGAAAAGCAAUUUCAGUGAAAUGUUAAUGGUAGAACCUAGGUGAUUAGCAUACAGCUAUUGGCUGUAAAAAUGCUUUCUACUUUACUAUGUGUUUUCCAUUUUUCACAAUAAAAUGGAAACAAGAGUAGUGCUGCUUAAAAAAAAAAAAAAACAGCAAUAAUUCCACCCCAUAAAUGAAUCCCAGACUUUUCCCAGUCCUGGUUCUGGGGAUGUAACCAUGGUAGAGCCCUUGCCUAGCAUGUGCGAGGCUGGGUUCAAUCCCCAGCUCUGCAAAAUAAAUAAAUAAAUAUUUUUAAAAUAAUAAUAAAUCAAAGUCACAACUAUUUACUAGGUUCCUAGGUGACCAAGUGCUUUAUAAACAUUUUCCUAAUCCUCCUGAUGUUAUAGAUUAGAUGAUUAACAUUCAGAGACACUAAGUGACUUGCCCAGAGACACACAGUUGAAAACAUCAAAGCCAGACUUGCCUGAAUCUUCUACACGCUGUUGCCUAGCAAGACUCCGGAUGGGGAUGGAGGGACGUCCCAUUGACGCCUACCCUCCAGAGGCAGGGUCUGGCAGUGGCAUUUGGACGAACAUACUUUCUUCUCAGCUGAUGCCUGUCAGCCUGCAAUCUCAGCUCUGAAUUUGAUCAAACUCAAAACGAAGAGGAAUGCGUUGCUGGUCCUCGACCACCAGUCAGCUCAUCAAGAACUCCAUACAUAUUAACCGAACUCCUACAGUGUAGACGGAAUUCAGAAACAGUUAAGGCACGGUCUUAAAUUUCAAGAAGCAGCCAGAAUGGCUCACCAGUCUGGAGAAAUGGACUCUCUAUCUAAUAAGAGCUUAAACUAGACUAUCCCUCAGGAUCCCCACCCCCACUCUCCUGUUUCUGUGACUUUUGAUCCAUAGUUAAUUUUAAAGGCCAAAGGACUGGGUGCAGAUAGCAUAUGCUAAUGGUGCCGAUGAGGAAAAGUCCCUCAGGCUAGGGGGAAUGUGUCCCCAGGGGAGAGGGAGCUGGUAUUCCAGAGGCAGGAAAUGCAAACACAGGGCCAGGAAUUGGAGCAUGGAGGGGGGUUGUAGGGAAGGAGAGUGGGUUAAUAUCUAGGGAGCUGGGACAGGGCCCAGGAAGAGGUUUUGACCUUAACUCUGAGAAGAAGGAUCCCCCAGAGGCCUUAGGCAUGAGGGUGUGAUGAGAUGCUAUCUCAGGAUGAUUAAUCUAUUUAUUUGGAGUAGAGGGGAAAAAAAACAGUGGCACAAGUCAUCACAAAUAUCACAUCAUUCAAAAAAACAAUGUGGUAGGCUCCAUAAGGUCCUCAAGUCUGUGUCUUUUAAGCUAGGGUCCUGGGAAGGGCCUCUGGACACUCAACAGGCCUACUCAGCUCCCCUCUCCCAUUGCCAACCUGAUUUUUAUGGGUUUAAUACACAGGAGUUCUGGGUAAAAUUUAUUUUGAAACAAGGAUGCAACAGACCUCAACUGAACAGUAUCAGUUAAUUACAGAAAUAAGUAGCCAGACAAAUGCGUCAGGAGGGGGUUGUCUGAGGAGGAAUAACUUGCUGGACAUUCAGCUCUCACAGCUAUUUGAGGUGAGGCCACAUUCUCACCUGGGAGACUGGGCUCUGACAAGAACAGGAAUUCCAGGAAGGCUGGUUUGCAGGGCUACGUGUCUGGGCCCCUGGAGCCCUGAGCCACCUCAUUUCCUUCAACCUCCUGGUCCUACCUCAUUUCCUACAAAGCCCCCACCCCGGCUGCCCUGCCCCAUGGGGCUGUCUGGACUUCAUUCCCUUGGCAGCUCUGCAGCCUCAGCCUGUAGAAUUUCCUCCUCCGUGGAACUGAGGCAGGAGGAAUCAAAAAUAUAAUAAAACAUAAAAAUAAAGCCAUUUUGGAGGGGAGCAGAGCCUCUCCCUAACCCCUCUCCCCUUCUUUGUGUUACUUCAAACACGCAUUUGAGAGCUUUUUGCUGGGAGACUAGACCAGGGUAACAAAAAUAAUAAACUUGGGGAAGUUACACGGGGGCUAGAUUCUUCAGAGUAUGUCUUUUAAGUUCCUUGACUUCAGNGAGAAUUUUUUUUAAUAUUUAUUUUUUUAGUUCUUGGCAGACACAACAUCUUUUUUUUGUAUGUGGUGCUGAGGAUGGAACCCAGGCCGCACACAUGCCAGGUGAGCGCGCUACCGCUUGAGCCACAUCCCCAGCCCCCCAUUUUUUUUUAAAAGGGUGGGGGUGGCUGGAGAGGUAGCUACCCCCUUUUUUUAAAAGGGUGGGGGUAGCUCAAUGGUAAAGUGACCCUGGAUUUAAUCCUCAGUAUGGGGAUGGGGAUGGGGGUGGGGGGGAAUGCGACAAAUAGAUAUUACAUCCAUUGAAAACCCUAAAAAAAUACUGAACUCUAGCUAAGUAUACACAAGCCAAAGUAUUUAGAGGAAAGGGUACCAAUGCCAGCAAUUUACUUUGAAAUGCAUCACUAAAAUAAGGUAAGGUAGACAAAGGGACAGAAAGAUGGAUAAUUGAAAAGCAAUUUCAGUGAAAUGUUAAUGGUAGAACCUAGGUGAUUAGCAUACAGCUAUUGGCUGUAAAAAUGCUUUCUACUUUACUAUGUGUUUUCCAUUUUUCACAAUAAAAUGGAAACAAGAGUAGUGCUGCUUAAAAAAAAAAAAACAGCAAUAAUUCCACCCCAUAAAUGAAUCCCAGACUUUUCCCAGUCCUGGUUCUGGGGAUGUAACCAUGGUAGAGCCCUUGCCUAGCAUGUGCGAGGCUGGGUUCAAUCCCCAGCUCUGCAAAAUAAAUAAAUAAAUAUUUUUAAAAUAAUAAUAAAUCAAAGUCACAACUAUUUACUAGGUUCCUAGGUGACCAAGUGCUUUAUAAACAUUUUCCUAAUCCUCCUGAUGUUAUAGAUUAGAUGAUUAACAUUCAGAGACACUAAGUGACUUGCCCAGAGACACACAGUUGAAAACAUCAAAGCCAGACUUGCCUGAAUCUUCUACACGCUGUUGCCUAGCAAGACUCCGGAUGGGGAUGGAGGGACGUCCCAUUGACGCCUACCCUCCAGAGGCAGGGUCUGGCAGUGGCAUUUGGACGAACAUACUUUCUUCUCAGCUGAUGCCUGUCAGCCUGCAAUCUCAGCUCUGAAUUUGAUCAAACUCAAAACGAAGAGGAAUGCGUUGCUGGUCCUCGACCACCAGUCAGCUCAUCAAGAACUCCAUACAUAUUAACCGAACUCCUACAGUGUAGACGGAAUUCAGAAACAGUUAAGGCACGGUCUUAAAUUUCAAGAAGCAGCCAGAAUGGCUCACCAGUCUGGAGAAAUGGACUCUCUAUCUAAUAAGAGCUUAAACUAGACUAUCCCUCAGGAUCCCCACCCCCACUCUCCUGUUUCUGUGACUUUUGAUCCAUAGUUAAUUUUAAAGGCCAAAGGACUGGGUGCAGAUAGCAUAUGCUAAUGGUGCCGAUGAGGAAAAGUCCCUCAGGCUAGGGGGAAUGUGUCCCCAGGGGAGAGGGAGCUGGUAUUCCAGAGGCAGGAAAUGCAAACACAGGGCCAGGAAUUGGAGCAUGGAGGGGGGUUGUAGGGAAGGAGAGUGGGUUAAUAUCUAGGGAGCUGGGACAGGGCCCAGGAAGAGGUUUUGACCUUAACUCUGAGAAGAAGGAUCCCCCAGAGGCCUUAGGCAUGAGGGUGUGAUGAGAUGCUAUCUCAGGAUGAUUAAUCUAUUUAUUUGGAGUAGAGGGGAAAAAAAACAGUGGCACAAGUCAUCACAAAUAUCACAUCAUUCAAAAAAACAAUGUGGUAGGCUCCAUAAGGUCCUCAAGUCUGUGUCUUUUAAGCUAGGGUCCUGGGAAGGGCCUCUGGACACUCAACAGGCCUACUCAGCUCCCCUCUCCCAUUGCCAACCUGAUUUUUAUGGGUUUAAUACACAGGAGUUCUGGGUAAAAUUUAUUUUGAAACAAGGAUGCAACAGACCUCAACUGAACAGUAUCAGUUAAUUACAGAAAUAAGUAGCCAGACAAAUGCGUCAGGAGGGGGUUGUCUGAGGAGGAAUAACUUGCUGGACAUUCAGCUCUCACAGCUAUUUGAGGUGAGGCCACAUUCUCACCUGGGAGACUGGGCUCUGACAAGAACAGGAAUUCCAGGAAGGCUGGUUUGCAGGGCUACGUGUCUGGGCCCCUGGAGCCCUGAGCCACCUCAUUUCCUUCAACCUCCUGGUCCUACCUCAUUUCCUACAAAGCCCCCACCCCGGCUGCCCUGCCCCAUGGGGCUGUCUGGACUUCAUUCCCUUGGCAGCUCUGCAGCCUCAGCCUGUAGAAUUUCCUCCUCCGUGGAACUGAGGCAGGAGGAAUCAAAAAUAUAAUAAAACAUAAAAAUAAAGCCAUUUUGGAGGGGAGCAGAGCCUCUCCCUAACCCCUCUCCCCUUCUUUGUGUUACUUCAAACACGCAUUUGAGAGCUUUUUGCUGGGAGACUAGACCAGGGUAACAAAAAUAAUAAACUUGGGGAAGUUACACGGGGGCUAGAUUCUUCAGAGUAUGUCUUUUAAGUUCCUUGACUUCAGUCCCCUUUAUAGAAGAUAAUAAUUGAUAAAUCUAUUUUUAAAUAGUUUCAUUCAGACCUGACUGUUAGGUGCCAUGGAGGAAAAAUGUUAGUCCUCACCUGGUCUCAGGUGCUUUCUGACCCUCUGUCCCAGAUGAAAAGGGUCCUUAACGGGUCCUCCAAAACUCAAUGGCUCAGCAUUAUAAUCACUCUCCAUCUCCUACGGUUUCCGUGGGUCAGGUACCUGAGAGGCACCCAGCUGAGUGGUUCUGGCUCAGGGUCUUGGCAGCUGCAGUAAGUGAGCUGGGCAAUCACCUGAAGGCUCCCUGCCUGUCAGUGGCAAGUUGGCUGCUGGCUUGUCCAGGAGCUCAGUCCUCUCCACUUGGGCCUCUCCUGCCGAGAGUCCUCUUGGUGUGGCCACCAGCCUCCCCAGAAUAAGAAAUCCAAGAUGCCAAGAUAGACCUUGGAAUGACUCUUAUGGCCUUGCCUUGAAUGUCAUUCUGUAGCACUUGUACCUUAUUUUACUGGUCUUGGAGGGCCAGCUCUGACUCCACGUGCAAGAAGAGGGCUACAUGAGGAGGCCCGGGUCACUGGAGGCCAUCUUGGAGUCUGGCUCACCACACUGUAGAGGCAUCCAAAGAAGAUCAGGCUCAAAGAGAAAGAAAAGGCAGCCCCUUCAUGCUCUGGAAUGCACAGUAAAUAUUGAGUGAGCAAGACAGACAUAAUCUCUGCCUUCUUGAAGCUUGCGAUCUGGUGGGAAUGACAGGGUUCAUACAAAUAAUGGCAUUUGGAAUAAAAUCCAAUCUCCUUAACUUUGAUCCUCCCUACUUUUUUUUUAGAAAAAUUUUUUAAAUAUAUAUUUUAGUUGUUGAUGGACCUCCUCCCACUCCAAUAUAAACUGCAUGAGAACGCGGGUUUUGUUAAACCUCCUUCCUUACUCUCUGUCCCAAGGCUUGGGACACCACUUAUUAUAUAUGAAGCAAAAAAUGUAUAUCCUAAUGAGUGAAUGAAGUACCCACUUUCUGACCAAGCUGAACAUAUUCUUCCUUCUAGAAUAUUGUAAACUCCAGUACCAGCCCUGCUGCUUGGCCAUUUUGCAGAUCAGACAAACCUUGGUAAAUUGCAGACCUAUUCUAAGAUCUAACUUUGCUGACUUUUUGAGCAAAUGGUAUAUCUUGGCCUCACCUGAUUCCCCACCCACUUGGAGAUUGGAUUGAACCAGCCCGGGCUGACGGCCUUAUUUGUAUUCUUCCUUGGAGCCCGGGCUCCAUUUCGGAUUGCCUUUGCCUGGUUUCCCAUCCAACCUCCCUCCCUCCCCCAAGGGAAGGUUGAUUCCAGCCUUGUUUUGCUACACUUGUGUUUUUAGCUUUCCUGAGUUGAAAUAUUGCAAACAGUUGCUCAUUAGCAUCCCAGCUUUCCUGCUUUUCAGGGGAAACAGCGUGAUGAACAGGGACCCCACGCAUAUUUAUUUUGAAAAUAUGUUUUUUAAUUCGAAAGCAAAUGGACACUGGCGGUCCACAGGUCAUUUCACCUGCUGUGGCAUGUGAUUAGUGAGGCCUUUUCUCUCUGGGUGGUACUGCUAGCUAAUGGACUCAUGCCCCAUAUGUAUGUUUGUCUUCAGUUAAUUAAAAUUUUGCCAAAUCUUCCCUCUGCCCUUGCGCACAGCAAGGCCAAGCCUUGGCUUGUGGCACUGAUCCGGGCUGGCAAGCUGGAUGGGGGCGGUCAUCCUAUUAAAUAUUAAUCUAGGAAGGCAAUCAGGCCUGUGGGCUUCCACCCCUGAGGUUCUCCCGCUGGGAAGUCACAGAUCGAUGCCAGAGCUCAGCGCCUGUGGCAGCUCUCCCUGCCAGACCUGAGUCAGAGUCAGACGCAAUUUUUCGGAAUGGUUUGACGAUCAAUCUGAGCAGAAUUCUGAAAGAUCUCUCUUAAAAAUUGGAAUGAAUUACACACACAGGUACCCUGGAAAGGGAUGUUAACCAUCACAUGAAAGUGCACCUUAUAAAUGACGAAUGGGACAGUUUGCCAACAUUUUUUUUUUAAAGUUUGGGGUGCCCCGUGCAAAAAUGGUGCACAAACACAGUUUGUGUUAGCUGCUUGAAAUUCUGUAAUCCCAGCAGCUCAGGAGGCCAAGGCAGGAGGAUCGUGCGAGUUCAAAGCCAGCCUCAGCAAAAGCAAAGCAGCUCAGUGAGACCCUGUCUCUAAAUAAACUACAGAAUAGGGCUGGGGAUGUGGCUCAGUGGUUAAGUGACCCUGAGUUCAAUCUCCAGUACCACUAUCACACCCCCCCCCAAAAAAAAGUGAAUGGACCUAUUUGCCAAUUUUUUUUUUUGUUAUGUUUGGGGUCAGGUAAAGAUGAGUAAAGGCAUCCUGCACUUCAGAUGCCACUGUUGAAAAUCCAUCUCUCCAUCCAAGGAUAAGAGAGGAGGCGAAGAUUUGAAUUGGCCCCAACUAAUGAAACCUCCACUGCUCCCUGUGCAGAAAUGUGCAAGUUGCUGACUCACAAGUUCACCUUCCAGCCCUCUGCCCUUCAGUCACUUCCAUCAAAUCAUUUCAGCAAAUACCUUCUGCUGCCAAACGUGCAAGAUAGAAAAUGCACUCUAGUGUGGGUCGAAUUGAGUCCCCAAGAAAGAUAUAUAUUGAAGUCCAGUACCUGUCAACACGACCUUAUUUGGAAAUUGAACAUUUGCAGAUGUAAUUAGUUAAGACAAGUGGAUCUUGAUCCAAGGACUGGUGUCCUUAUAAGAAGACUUAACAGAGUCACAAGGACACACCAGAGAUUGCCAUGUGAGGAGGGAAGUAGAGAUUGGAAUGGUGCAUCUGCAAGCCACAGACCUGGGGGGGGGGGGGAUGUCUGCAGUCACCAGACACUAAGGAGAGGAAAGGAAGCCCCUCCCCUAGAGCCUUCAGAGGGAACCAGCCAUGCUGGCACCUCAAUCAGCUUCCAGCUUCCAGAGCUACGAGUGAACUUCUGUUGUUAUGGCAGUUACGAAACUAACACACACUUUACUCCUGGCCCUGCUGCUGCCAACCCCCAACCCUGGCUGCUUGUCCUCUCUGCAGACAGGCUCAGUCACCCUGAUCCUCUGCCCUGCUUGGGAUGUCAAGGACAACAGAAUCUCAAUUUUGGUUUACAAAGUGAGGAAUGAGCCUAAGAAGAAAACCUCACGGUACCUCAAAUCUUGCUGAUGAUUUUCAAAACACCUCAGUCCACGUUCUUUUUUUUUUUUUUUAAGUACCAGGGAUUGAAGCUAGGGGGGCACUUAACCUUGGAGCCACCUCCCCAGCCCUUUUUUGUACUUUAUUUAGGGACAGGGUCUCACUAAGUUGCUUAGAGCCUUGCUAAGUUGCUGAGGCUGGCUUUGAACUCACAAUCCUCCUGCCUAGCCUCCCGAGUGCUGGGAUUACAGGCCUGUGCCACCACGCCUGGCUCAGUUCUCAGUCUUGCCAAGUUGGAGGUCAGUAAGCAUAAGAAGAUCUCUCUUUAAUGAUGAGGACGUUGCUCAGCCUCAGGAGCCUUCACCCCAAUUCAAGUCUCAUGAGCUGGCAUCAUCAAUACAGAGAAGAGGCACUGGCACGACUUUGUACUGAUCCUGGAACAUAUUUCAGAAACUGAAUUUUAUAUUUUGGACUCUUUGUUCUUCUAGAAGUUGGAUGUUAGGCUCUGAGGGCGAGCUCAGUGGAACAGCACUUGCCUAGCAAGCACAAAGCCCAAGGUUCCAUUCCCAACAACACGGAAAGAACAAAAAGAAGAUCAACCAUUUACUUUUGCUCCCUACCCAAUCCCUCCAGAAUUAGGAAAAGGCCAAAUGUCACCAGAAAGGUGACACAGGUGAAUUCAGAAACACUGUUAAUCAACUGGAUGGAAUUGCCAUCUGUAGACUGUUUCAUCUCACAACAGCAGAAUUCACAUUCUUCUCAAGCUCAUAUGGAACGUUUACUAAGGUAUACCUCACCUUGAACCAGAAAUCCUGUCUGCUCUCAAACCACAAUAAAAUUAAACUAAAAUUGAACUAAACAUAUCUGGAAAAUACCAACAUACUUGGAGAUUUAACAACAUUUCAAAAUAACACCUGGGUCAGAGAAUAAAUCUCAUAAGAAAUUUUAAAUAUUUUAAACUAUAUAACAACUUACCAAAAUUUGUAGAAUGAAGCAAAAGCACUGUUUGCUGAAAAAUGUAUAGCAUUGAAUGUAUAUAUCAGAAAAGAAGAAAUAUCUAAAAUCUAUAAUCUAAACUUCCACUUAAGGAAAGUAGAAAAAGAAGAUCAAAUUAAGCCCAAAAUAAACAGAAGAAAAAAAAUAGUGUGGGGCUGG